UACGUAGGGAGCAAGCGUUGUUCGGAGUUACUGGGCGUAAAGGGUGUGUAGGCGGUCUUCUAAGUUUGGUGUGAAAUCUCCCGGCUCAACUGGGAGGGUGCGCCGAAAACUGGGAGGCUAGAGUACUGGAUGGGAGAGUGGAAUUCCUGGUGUAGCGGUGAAAUGCGUAGAUAUCAGGAGGAACACCUGUGGUGUAGACGGCUCUCUGGACAGUAACUGACGCUGAGACACGAAAGCGUGGGUAGCAAACAGG
RNAcentral lists this ribosomal RNA (253 nucleotides) under uncultured bacterium. Its description in RNAcentral is "partial 16S ribosomal RNA". It matches the Rfam family "Bacterial small subunit ribosomal RNA", at positions 524 to 776 of the family's 1533-position model. The record is from RNAcentral.